Molecule: ribosomal RNA, 325 nt
Filed under: uncultured eukaryote
Lineage: Eukaryota
Description: partial 18S ribosomal RNA
Rfam family: Eukaryotic small subunit ribosomal RNA
Source: RNAcentral
CCCUUAGAUGUUCUGGGCCGCACGCGUGCUACACUGAGUGGAUCAGCGGGUCAGGUUGCGCGAAAGUGUUUCCUAAUCUUGAAAUCCGCUCGUGAUGGGGAUUGACGGUUGCAAUUUUCCGUCAUGAACGAGGAAUACCUUGUAAGCGCGGGUCAUCAUCCCGCGCUGAUUACGUCCCUGCCCUUUGUACACACCGCCCGUCGCUACUACCGAUUGAAUGGUUUAGUGAGGACUCCUGAUUGGCGCCGCCGCCCCGGCAACGGAGCAGCGGACUGCCGAAAAGUUGUUCAAACUUGAUCAUUUAGAGGAAGUAAAAGUCGUAACA